RNAcentral lists this ribosomal RNA (253 nucleotides) under uncultured bacterium. Its description in RNAcentral is "partial 16S ribosomal RNA". It matches the Rfam family "Bacterial small subunit ribosomal RNA", at positions 524 to 776 of the family's 1533-position model. The record is from RNAcentral.
UACGUAGGGGGCAAGCGUUGUCCGGAUUUAUUGGGCGUAAAGAGCGUGUAGGCGGCUUGGUAGGUCCGCUGUGAAAACUCGAGGCUCAACCUCGAGAUGUCGGCGGAAACCACUUGGCUAGAGUCCGGAAGAGGAGAAUGGAAUUCCUGGUGUAGCGGUGAAAUGCGCAGAUAUCAGGAAGAACACCCGUGGCUAAGGCGGUUCUCUAGUACGGUACUGACGCUGAGACGCGAAAGCGUGGGGAGCGAACAGG